GGGGAGGUAGCGAAGCGGUCAAACGCACCAGACUGUAAAUCUGGCGGCAGAUGCCUUCGGUGGUUCGAAUCCGCCCCUCCCCA
RNAcentral lists this transfer RNA (83 nucleotides) under Calditrichota bacterium. RNAcentral describes it as "Calditrichaeota bacterium tRNA-Tyr". It matches the Rfam family "tRNA". Rfam says of the family: Transfer RNA (tRNA) molecules are approximately 80 nucleotides in length. Lineage: Bacteria; Pseudomonadati; Calditrichota. The record is from RNAcentral.